This 484-nucleotide ribosomal RNA is filed under the name uncultured bacterium. Its description in RNAcentral is "partial 16S ribosomal RNA". It matches the Rfam family "Bacterial small subunit ribosomal RNA", at positions 29 to 507 of the family's 1533-position model. The record is from RNAcentral.
AUUGAACGCUGGCGGCAUGCUUUACACAUGCAAGUCGAACGGCAGCGCGGGCUUCGGCCUGGCGGCGAGUGGCGAACGGGUGAGUAAUGCAUCGGAACGUGCCCAGCAGUGGGGUAUAGCCCGGCGAAAGCCGGAUUAAUACCGCAUACGACCUGAGGGUGAAAGCGGGGGACCGAAAGGCCUCGCGCUAUUGGAGCGGCCGAUGUGGGAUUAGCUAGUUGGUGGGGUAAAGGCUUACCAAGGCGACGAUCCGUAGCUGGUCUGAGAGGACGACCAGCCACACUGGAACUGAGACACGGCCCAGACUCCUACGGGAGGCAGCAGUGGGGAAUUUUGGACAAUGGGGGCAACCCUGAUCCAGCCAUGCCGCGUGCGGGAAGAAGGCCUUCGGGUUGUAAACCGCUUUUGUUCGGGAAGAAAUCCUCUGGGCUAAUACCCCGGGGGGAUGACGGUACCGGAAGAAUAAGCACCGGCUAACUACGUG